This is a long non-coding RNA of Danio aesculapii, 278 nucleotides long. RefSeq lists it as uncharacterized. The transcript is spliced from 2 exons. NCBI's taxonomy places the organism in Eukaryota, Metazoa, Chordata, Actinopteri, Cypriniformes, Danionidae. The record is from RefSeq and is a predicted model, not a curated record.
UUUUUGGACUGGUUGUGCUGAGAAUUCUGUCCAAUCAUAAAUGGAAGAACCCAGAGUUUGAAAAUGAAACUAACAGGCCUUUGCUGCCAGAUGCCAGAUGAAGAGAUCAAGAAGAUACUGUGCAUCGGAAUUCAGCUCACUGGUUUUAUGUUUAGACCUUUUACACCAACCCACCUGAGUGACAGACUUGUACCUUGUCAGUUAGAGACAGACCUCUUGUGGUUAGCCAGAAAAUUGCAAGAAAAUGUACCUUAAUAAAUUGUUGAGUCUACAAGGAA